AUGCCGGUGACUCAGUUAGAAGCAUGCUUCGAAGCUGUCCGUGUCCUUGCCAUCCAGAAGCGGAGCCUGGGAGCUUCCGAAUUUCUCCAGAAUGCGGUUUACAUUCACCUUGACAGAUACCCAGCUUUCCCUGCACCAUUCAUUGAAUAGACUAUUCUUUCAAUGGAGUGUUGUUGGCACCCUUGUUGAAAACUGACUGUAAAUAUAAGGAGACUGAGGAUUAAGUCUUCUCUCUUUUUGGGGGAGCUCAUUAUCAAUGACUGGAAGUUGUAAGGAAAAAGAUAUUGAUUCAUCCUGAGAAAACAUUUUUCUGAGAGUCAGCAUUGAAGAGGGUGACCACUGAAGAGGGUGAUCAUUGUUCGAGUGAGACGAGCCCCGUGUUGUACGGAGUCAGCAUCCCAGUCCUGGACACGGCACUGUGCUGCGUGAAAAUCACAGCUCCUCCCGGAAUGAGAAGUUGUGUUUUGAAUGAAUCAGUGAACAGCCAUUCCGAAAAAGGCCUCCUGAGUCUUCUGGAUCAAGGCUCGAUGAGUUUUCACUGGAGGGAAUUGAUCUUACAGAAGAUGGACUUAACUCAGGCCUCUUCAGAAUGGACAAAUGAACCUGGAGAAAGACAGUCAAAUCUGUGCAGACAUUAAAGUCCACGUGAACGUGCUGUAUCCCUGAGCCAAAGAUUGGACAUUAGGCAGCACUUCUUGAGGACAGAGGAGUGGUUUUUAAGGUUCUCCAAGAAUGAAUCCCAGGGAACCGGGAUGGCCAGUUGUCAAACUGUGACUUUGCUCUUUGGACGGUGUGCCCACCAAAGGAGAGGAAAACAAGUCUAAACUUACUUUCCAGUUGAAAAUGGAAUGGAGAGUUAACGCUGGAAGCCGGGAGAGUCUUUCCUGUGAUGAAGUGGUCUCCGAGCCACUUCCACUGGGACGUCACGUCACUGUCUGGGCCCCUUGCACAGCCUGUGCACAGGGAGCAGAUUCCUCUGUUUCAGGGAAUACAGGCCUUUCUAGGAAAAGGACAGGAUGAACGUGGAGAGGUGGGGCCGGAGGGGGUCUGGAGCAUCUGCACAGCGCUGCUUCCCUGCAUUUCUGCAUCCGGUCCCAUCAGUGCACGAACGUUCCUAGGAGAGAAUUCAGCAGUGCAGCAUCCUCUCCGAGCUCUAUGAGUUGAUCGGCUUCCACUGCAAGUCCGUCUUCUUCAAGUGGGUGGCCCCCGUGCAGCGCGCGGCCCCCGGCAUCCCGGAGCCUGGCGGGAAGGCCUGCUACCGACUCCUUCUGCAGACGCUUCCUGGCUACAUUCUGUCACUGAUUCUGCAGGACUUCAACAAAGGUUUUGGAACUAAAACAUUGCUUCAGUCCGAUUAACCAUGCCUUGUUUGGGCCCUGCUCUCCUGUCUCAUCAGGGUGAAUUGUGAUUCGUGUAGAACAGGACACAGCAGACUUUUUUCUGUCAAGGGCUUGGGAGUCAAUAUUUCAGGAUCUGCAAACCUCCUAAUCUCUGGUGCAGCUGCUCAGCUCUGCUGUUCAGACGCCAGAGCAGCCGGACAUUCCACACACCCACAGAGCUUUAUUCACAGCAGUGGCUGGGGCUGGAUUGGGUGUAUGAACUGCAGUUUGUCCCCACAGCCUCCUCACUAUUGACGCCUGCACCUGAGCGUGCAUUUGCGACAAUGGGUGAACCUACACUGACACGUCAUCAUCACCAAGAGCCCAUAUUUGACACUAGGAUUUACACUUGGUGGUGUGCACUCUGUGGGUUUGGACAGAUGUAGAAUGACACGUUUCUACCAUCACAGCAUCAUACAGAGUAGUCUGUCUUAGUGACCCUAAAAAUGCUCCGUGCUGCACCUCAUUCAUUACUCCUUCCCCUCUAGCCUCUGACAGCAACUGAUCUUUUAGUCUCUGUGGUUUUGCCUUUCCCAGAACACCAUACAGUUGGAAUCAGACAGUUGCGGAACCUUCCCAGAUUGGCUUCUUUCACUUAGUAAUAUGCAUUUAAGGUUCCUCCAUGUCUUUCCAUGCCUUGAAAACUCAUUUCAUUUUAACACCAUAAAUAGUCCAUUUUCUGCCUGGACCAUAGUUUAUUUAUCCAUUCACCUACUGAAGAACAGCUUAGUUGUUUCUGAGUUCUGGUGAUUAUGAAUAAAGCUGCUAUUAACAUCUGUAUGCAGAUUUGUGUGUGGACGUAAGUUUCCAUUUUGUUCAGUAAACACCAAGGAGCACAGUUGCCAGAUCAUAUGGUAGGAGUACGUUUAGUUUUGUAAAAAAUUGCCAGACCGUCUUCCAAAGUAUCUGGGCCAUUUUUCAUUCCCACCAGCAAUGCAAGAGAA
Molecule: long non-coding RNA, 2323 nt
Organism: Camelus dromedarius (Arabian camel)
Lineage: Eukaryota; Metazoa; Chordata; Mammalia; Artiodactyla; Camelidae
Exons: 8
Source: RefSeq, a predicted model, not a curated record